CUCAGGACGAACGCUGGCGGCGUGCUUAACACAUGCAAGUCGAACGAUGAUGCCCAGCUUGCUGGGUGGAUUAGUGGCGAACGGGUGAGUAACACGUGAGUAACCUGCCCCUGACUCUGGGAUAAGCGUUGGAAACGACGUCUAAUACUGGAUAUGNNNACCGGCCGCAUGGUCUGGUGGUGGAAAGAUUUUUUGGUUGGGGAUGGACUCGCGGCCUAUCAGCUUGUUGGUGAGGUAAUGGCUCACCAAGGCGACGACGGGUAGCCGGCCUGAGAGGGUGACCGGCCACACUGGGACUGAGACACGGCCCAGACUCCUACGGGAGGCAGCAGUGGGGAAUAUUGCACAAUGGGCGAAAGCCUGAUGCAGCAACGCCGCGUGAGGGAUGACGGCCUUCGGGUUGUAAACCUCUUUUAGUAGGGAAGAAGCGAAAGUGACGGUACCUGCAGAAAAAGCACCGGCUAACUACGUGCCAG
RNAcentral lists this ribosomal RNA (476 nucleotides) under Curtobacterium flaccumfaciens. RNAcentral's name for it is "bacterial SSU rRNA". It matches the Rfam family "Bacterial small subunit ribosomal RNA", at positions 23 to 511 of the family's 1533-position model. The record is from RNAcentral. Lineage: Bacteria; Bacillati; Actinomycetota; Actinomycetes; Micrococcales; Microbacteriaceae.